This is a long non-coding RNA of Rhincodon typus (whale shark), 434 nucleotides long. RefSeq lists it as uncharacterized. Lineage: Eukaryota; Metazoa; Chordata; Chondrichthyes; Orectolobiformes; Rhincodontidae. The record is from RefSeq and is a predicted model, not a curated record. The transcript is spliced from 2 exons.
AUGAGGCAUUAAGGUGAAGCCCUAUCUGACCAUCCAGGUUGAUGUUAAGAGCAGAGAGUUCUUCCGAUGUCUUGGUCAACACUCCUCCUGAAAUGAAAACACUUCGAAGAGUUCAUAUUCAGGUUAGGGAUAUUGCCAGAAAAGCCAGAACACUUUACUCCUAACGAGCUGCUCUUGGGAUGAUUAUGAUGUGCAGAGGGAAAAGGCUGCAACAAGCACAGAGAACGCUGCAGAAGCUCAGCAGGUCUGUCAGCAUCUGAGGAGAGAGAGGAAAACCGAGUUAAUGUUUCAAGCCUGGUGUGACACUUCUUCCAAAAGCAGUGUUGAGUUACGUCAUGAUGAAGUCAGAUCAUGGAACAGAGUUCUGGUGGAAUAAAGCUGUACUGUGCUUCUGUGUAUAGUUUGUAACUAAUAAAUAUUAAUAGUUUUCAUUA